This 19-nucleotide small nuclear RNA is filed under the name Arabidopsis thaliana (thale cress). Its description in RNAcentral is "snRNA_02719". Lineage: Eukaryota; Viridiplantae; Streptophyta; Magnoliopsida; Brassicales; Brassicaceae. The record is from RNAcentral.
UCUCAGGCACAGCUGUGAU